Molecule: long non-coding RNA, 297 nt
Filed under: Homo sapiens (human)
Lineage: Eukaryota; Metazoa; Chordata; Mammalia; Primates; Hominidae
Description: HSALNT0271622
Source: RNAcentral
AGCCCUCUUCUCUGUACCAGACAAGAGCAGAAGUCAUGUUUCCCAAGUUGUCAGAAGACUUUGCUGUUUAGGAGAAAGCAUUUUGACAUAGUCCAAUAAUUUUCUGUGCCUGAUGACUCAUUGUCUGGCAUAACUUUUCUCAGCACUUGGCAGCAUUAUGAAGCAACUGUUCUGUAACUGAUCCCACCGUGACACCGCCACACCCCAUAUCCUAAUUGCUUGGCAAUGGUGUUGCAGGAAACAGAUGAAGAUUCAUUUGAAUGGUUCAAGGUCGCAAAGAGAUGUCAAGCCUUCUCU